CCUGACCCUGCAGCUCUGGGAGAGGAGUCACAGCCCCGGGAUUCCCAGCUGUCUCCACUUGGUCAUGAACACUGAACUCAGAAGAGGCACCAUGGAGUUUGUGCUGAGUUUGGUUUUCCUUGUGGCUAUUUUAAAAGGUGUCCAGUGUGACGUGCAGCUGGUGGAGUCUGGGGGAGGCUUGGUAAAGCCUGGGGGGUCUCUGAGACUCUCUUGUGUAGCCUCUGGAUUCACCUUCAGUAGCUAUGCUAUGCACUGGGUCCGCCAGGCUCCAGGAAAGGGUCUGGAGUGGGUCUCAGUUAUUAGUACAAGUGGUGGUACCACAUACUACGCAGACUCUGUGAAGGGCCGAUUCACCAUCUCCAGAGACAACGCCAAGAACUCACUGUUUCUGCAAAUGAACAGCCUGAGAGCCGAGGACACGGCUGUGUAUUACUGUAUGAGAGACACAGUGAGGAGAAGUCAGUGUGAGCCCAGACACAAACCUCCCUGCAGGGUACCUGGGACAACCAGGGAACGCCUGGGACACUGUACAUGGGGCUGUCUCCAGGGGCAAGUGCAGGUGGUGCAAGGGCUGGUUUCCCGUCGUGGUCUGGAGCUGCCUUGCUACCAAAUUACCCCAGGGAAUUUCUCUAGAUUUACAAUUCUGUACUAA
Non-coding RNA from Cercocebus atys (sooty mangabey), 652 nucleotides. The record is from the annotation of a RefSeq genome assembly. Lineage: Eukaryota; Metazoa; Chordata; Mammalia; Primates; Cercopithecidae.